Molecule: long non-coding RNA, 1510 nt
Filed under: Vigna radiata
Lineage: Eukaryota; Viridiplantae; Streptophyta; Magnoliopsida; Fabales; Fabaceae
Description: long non-coding RNA (VRAD_LNC012028)
Source: RNAcentral
GUGUACCUCCCUGUAUCCUUUAGUAGAUACCUAAAUCUUCUAGCAUCCCUCAGUAGAUGUUAUCCCAAUAGCAUUCAUCAAUAAAUGCUAAUCUUUCUAAUCUUCAUUGGCAUCCAUCAGUAAAUACCAUAUCACCUAACAUCCAUCCGUAGAUGUUGUAGAAGCAUCCAUCAGUAGAUGCUAUCAUCACUGCCAUCAGAAGCACCAACUAACCCAAAAAUAAAAUAAAAUAAAAUAAAAUCAAAUAAAAUAAGAUAAAAUAAAAUAAAAUCAAAUCAAAUAAACUCAAAUAAAAUAAAAUAAAACCAAAUCAAAUAAAAUCAAAUAAAAUAAAAUCAAAUGAAAUAAAAUAAAAUAAAAUAAAAUAUAAUUAAAUCAAAUCAAAUAAAAUAGAAUAAAAUAAAAUCAAAUCAAAUCAAAUCACAUUAAAUAAAAUAAAAUAAAAUAAAAUAAAAUAAAAUAAAAUCUAACACCCAUCAGUAGGUCUUGAUACUCCCCUUUCUUGAGAUUCUUUUCUUUUUCUUCUUCCUGCUGAAUUUCUUCAUAAAAUUAAGAACACCAAGCACAUGUUUCCAUGUUUCAAUCAUAGGAACUUUAAUCUCCAAUUUCUUGAAGAUCUCCAUAAAGCUCAAAAAUUUAUUUUCCUUCCUAUGAUAUUUCUUUUCAUGAGGCAGGGGUUUUUCACAAGAUCUUUUCUUUUUACCUUUCUUCCUUUGUUUUUUAAUUUUCUCCUUCCUUAACCUUCUCUAUUUCUUUUUCUUUUCUUUCUUUAUUUUCACGUUUUUUUUUUCUUUUCUUUCAACCACUGUUUUUCCUUUCUCCUCAUCAUUCUCACUCUCAUUCAACUUUUCUCUUUCUAACUCCUCUAUCUUUUCUACCGCAACAACUUCUUCUGUUUUUAUUUCAUCUUCAUACAUCUAUAGCUCCUCUUCUUCUCCCUUUUCCUCCUUAACAACCUUAUCAUUUGUAAAGAUAACGGCUUGACAUUCUUCUUUAGGGGUAACUUCAGUAUUAACCCUAAUAAUGCCCAGAGACUUCAAAACAUGAGAGUGUUGUUCAUGCAAUAAACAUUCUUGAGUUCCCCCCAAUGUUUCUUUGCGUACAAGAGAUUGUUUUUGUUGUAAACGUUGUUGGGCUUCCCCCAACGUUUCUUUUGGUGUAGAGAAUACGUAUCGUCACAAGAAUUGUUGGACUUCCCCCAACGUUUCUUUUGGGACAGAGAAUAGUUCCUUCCGUAAACGCUCUUUAGCUUCCCCUAACGUUUCUUUUCGCGAAGAGGACUGAUGCCCUAAGCGGUUUCGAUAUAUAUUUGAAUAAGGGUCCCCCAGUGGUUGAAAUCAUUUUGAUGAAAUUGAGUGACCAUAUAAUCAAAUUCUUGAUCAGACUGCCUUCUGCAAAACUUAAGCACAAAACCCUAGAUAACAUUUAUUAGAACAAAAAUAAACAUACAAUCAAAUCAAGUCAAACUCAAUCAAUUCACACUACUAGAAAAAUAAACCUCGAGUCCUCG